AUUGAACGCUAGCGGCAUGCUUUACACAUGCAAGUCGAACGAGUGGCGGACGGGUGAGUAAUAUAUCGGAACGUGCCUAGUAGCGGGGGAUAACUACUCGAAAGGGUAGCUAAUACCCCAUACUAUUGGAGCUGCCGAUAUGGGAUUAGCUAGUUGGUGGGGUAAAGGCUCACCAAGGCGACGAUCCGUAGCUGGUUUGAGAGGACGACCAGCCACACUGGGACUGAGACACGGCCCAGACUCCUACGGGAGGCAGCAGUGGGGAAUUUUGGACAAUGGGGGAAAGCCUGAUCCAGCCAUCCCGCGUGUAUGAGAAGGCCUUCGGGUUGUAAAGUACUUUUGGCAGGGAAGCGGUAUCUGCAGAAUAAGCACCGGCUAACUACGUGCCAGCAGCCGCGGUAAUUC
This 405-nucleotide ribosomal RNA is filed under the name uncultured bacterium. RNAcentral describes it as "partial 16S ribosomal RNA". It matches the Rfam family "Bacterial small subunit ribosomal RNA", at positions 30 to 526 of the family's 1533-position model. The record is from RNAcentral.